UACGGAGGGUGCAAGCGUUAUCCGGAUUUAUUGGGUUUAAAGGGUCCGUAGGCGGGCCGAUAAGUCAGUGGUGAAAUCCUAUCGCUCAACGAUAGAACUGCCAUUGAUACUGUCGGCCUUGAGUAAAUUUGAGGUAGCUGGAAUAAGUAGUGUAGCGGUGAAAUGCAUAGAUAUUACGUAGAACACCAAUUGCGAAGGCAGGUUACCAAGAUUAAACUGACGCUGAGGGACGAAAGCGUGGGGAGCGAACAGG
Molecule: ribosomal RNA, 253 nt
Filed under: uncultured bacterium
Lineage: Bacteria
Description: partial 16S ribosomal RNA
Rfam family: Bacterial small subunit ribosomal RNA
Source: RNAcentral